AUGUGGCAAACGCGGUGCUGGACGGAUAUGCUUCCCGCUAAAGCACCAACAGUAGCCAAGAAGAUUGAAGAAUCCAAUGAAAGUUCUGAUUCUGAAAGCUCUGACUCUGAGAAGCCAGCUACUGAAGUGAAGAAUUAUGCGGUUGCUACUACACAAAAGAAAAACCAGGAAUUGGAUGGCUCUGAUAGUGAUUCUGAUGAUUCAUCAGAUGAGUCCAAACUAGAAAACUGUUUGCAGGAUAUGGCCACUAAAAAACCAGUAGCGAAGAAAGUGUUAGAAUCCAGUGAAAGUUCUGAUUCUGACUCUGAGGAGGACACCACUGCUAAACCAGUUCAAUCUUCCAAGGCUAUUGCUGUUAAAAAGAAUAAAGAAUCUAGUGAUAGCUCAGAUUUUGACUCAGAUUCAGAUUCCGAAGAAGUUCUCUAUUGUACUUGUUUACUCUUGGAUAUACCACUGCUAAAACAGUUAAUGCAAAGAAAUUAG
RNAcentral lists this ribosomal RNA (483 nucleotides) under Triticum aestivum (bread wheat). RNAcentral's name for it is "partial small subunit ribosomal RNA". The record is from RNAcentral. Lineage: Eukaryota; Viridiplantae; Streptophyta; Magnoliopsida; Poales; Poaceae.